CGGGUGAGUAACGCGUGGGUAACCUGCCUCAUACAGGGGGAUAACGAUUGGAAACGAUUGCUAAUACCGCAUAAGCGCACAGUACCACAUGGUACAGUGUGAAAAACUCCGGUGGUAUGAGAUGGACCCGCGUCUGAUUAGCUAGUUGGUGAGGUAACGGCCCACCAAGGCAACGAUCAGUAGCCGACCUGAGAGGGUGACCGGCCACAUUGGGACUGAGACACGGCCCAG
Molecule: ribosomal RNA, 231 nt
Filed under: uncultured bacterium
Lineage: Bacteria
Description: partial 16S ribosomal RNA
Rfam family: Bacterial small subunit ribosomal RNA
Source: RNAcentral